CGGAUAUGACGUCAUUGUUGCUGACUACGGCUGCACCAGUUCUACUAUUUUGACUGCUGAAAGACUCCAUAUUUAAAGUAACGCCCAACGGUCACUGACUUGAUGAGCUCUGGGCAGCGAAAGGCCGGCGCUUCUCAGACACUCUACGCUGCCCCUGAAAGGAGUCUGUGGCCGGGAGACUCCGAUGAAGGUCAAAGCCUUCUGUCACAGCUGCAGGACACCCCGUCUGCAGUGCAGAGGCCUCCCGUUAGACAGCAGAGAGCCUGAGCUGCCCAGGCACUGAGUACAGGACAUUAAGCCCGGGCCUGAUCCUGCUGCACACCUCUGGCCAAACAGAGCAGCGGACCGGCUCGCUGUGUCACUACUCUCCGCCCUCACGUUCUAGACAGCAAAAAUAAAUAAAUAAAUAAAAACCGCAGCAGAGUCUUAUGAGGACAGACAGAUGAGUGUUUGAGAGCGAAGGAGGAGGGGGGAGAGAGAGAGAGAGAGAGAGAGAGAGAGCGAGAGAGAGAUAAAUCUGUUAAGCAUACAGUACCUAGUCAUAACAUCUAUGGUCCAGCGUUCAGCUGACCAGUUCUAUGUGGCUGG
This is a long non-coding RNA of Anguilla rostrata (American eel), 588 nucleotides long. RefSeq lists it as uncharacterized. The transcript has 3 exons. Lineage: Eukaryota; Metazoa; Chordata; Actinopteri; Anguilliformes; Anguillidae. The record is from RefSeq and is a predicted model, not a curated record.